This is a long non-coding RNA of Amphiprion ocellaris (clown anemonefish), 881 nucleotides long. NCBI's taxonomy places the organism in Eukaryota, Metazoa, Chordata, Actinopteri, Pomacentridae. The record is from Ensembl.
GGCUGCUGCAGCCAAUGAUGCGAUUCACAUACGUAUUUACCAUAGACUGUAUAUAAUGGUAUUUACGCAGCUAAUCAACGUCAGGCGUCCUGAUGUGCAGCCAUCGUUGUUCUCAUAGAUAUGAAUGAGUAGAUAGGACACGCCCCUUUGAGCUGCGUGCUACAGCGAGGCUAAGCUAGUGGGGGCAAAGUUUCAGUGCAUUCCGUUGAUGUAGACGGCGUGAAAACGUAAACAACAAGUAUGCCGUCUCACUGUGCUGCAUACAGUUACACACUACGUCGUACGAUUGAGACAAGGAAACUUGGAAUGACUUUUCAUAGGUUUCCCAGAGACUAUGGGUUGAGGAGGAAUUGGAAGUUUGUCGGCUUAGACCUGGUGUCAUUCCAUCAGUGUUAAACUUCCCGGCUCAUCUUGGAAGAGUACGUGCCAGAAAGACCACAACCAAGCAGCCUUGAGAUCUUAGACAGCGUCUCCCUGAGGUCCCUCUCUAUCUCCCCACACAUCCACCAACCACUGGAACACAUCUCCAAAGUUCUGCAGGUCCAGCUCAGCUUCCCCUCAGAAGAAGUGCUGCCACCUGCCAGAUGAAGGAGCCUUUUGAGAGGCAGCUGGCAUCGUGAUUGGACUGUACUUUGGUCUGUUCCAAUCCAGCUUCAGCUCCAGAGACGGCAGGCGGGACGAGUCAACGGAGGCUGGAUGGACGAAGGUAUGCAGCUGAGUACAAUCCAGAAAACAACAGAGGAGGAGUGCAGCAGCCCAGGACCAGAACAAACAGAGUAGCAUCGUAUGUCUCUUAGAAAACAUCAUAGUAGAGCCUUUGGUAUGAAAAAACACCAUCAUAUACAUCGUAUAUUGUACAAAUAACAAGUCAAAGGAAAGAG